RNAcentral lists this long non-coding RNA (2412 nucleotides) under Zea mays. RNAcentral's name for it is "long non-coding RNA (ZMAY_LNC005132)". Lineage: Eukaryota; Viridiplantae; Streptophyta; Magnoliopsida; Poales; Poaceae. The record is from RNAcentral.
UUGUCUUCUUCGACCACGUCAUUGCCUCGUGACAUUUGGACACCUUGACGACACUCGACCACGUGUUCGCUCGUUACCAUGCCAUCUUCAGCAUCAUGGUUCUGUAAGACUCCGUGCACUCGUCGACACCCGGCUGUCGAUCUCCACCACGCAGCACCGCAUCGGACUUACCCUGUAGGAUGUUCACCAAGUGCGCGACAAAAAGCUCGAACAUCCUGCGUGACUCAAGUUCGAUUCGUCAAAAUUAUUCAGUCGAGGAAAAGAUCUUCAGCAAUUGGUUACUAAAGAAAAGAAGGCCCAUGGGUGACGUCUACCUAAUACCCGACGAAACGUCUGAAGUAGAAUUUAUCGAUGUGUCCAUGGAGGUGGAGCGACUUAAUCUUGGUAAGCGAACUCGUUACUUCGGAUAGUUGGAAUGGUAAUUUGUUUGGCUAGAUUUAUUAAUUGUAAUAAUCCUUGUGUUAGCACCGGCACGUUGUGGUAGUGUUAAAUAUGUGUCAAAUACGAUGGAGUUAGUAAUGCGAAAGGUAGAUUAAAUUAUACGAUAUUCGGGUGAGCUGACGACGUAGAAAAAUAGGCUUAGUAUUCCUAUCAGCUAGUUGAUAGAAUUUUCUAGUGUUGUUAUGUCAAUUUGAUUAAUUGAUAUAGUCGAUGCUCUGCUUAAUUAGUUAGUUUAUGCUAGGUUUGGUAUUUAGUUUGAUGUCAUGAGAGACGUGCAAAUUACCUAUGUAAUUAACAGUGAAUGGCAUCGAUCUAUCUAAUUAGCGUGGAAUUCAAGAUAAUUGAGAAACACAAUUUAGACAGUUAAUUAAUAUGCUCCCUUACUCUAAAUUAUCGGUAUUAAAAAAUAGUGAAUAAAAAUGUAACAAGUAAUGUGAUAUUGGGUGUUUUGCCAAAAGACUUGUGCUUAGCUUAUUAUUGCUUGAUGUUUGAAGUAGAUGCGAUUACGCUAAAAAAAUGUGAUAAUUGGGCGUAGUCGAAUGUCGUUAGCUAGUGUUUUCGUAUAAAAUAGUACGACGCUUCAUCACUAAAUGUUUAAUUCUUGUCGGUAUAGCACUAUUUAGGUUUAUGAUAUUCCUAUCUAUAUGCAUUCAUAUGCAUAAUGCAUUUCAUUCAGGUACGUUAAAUAAUCGUGUGAUGCGGAAGACGAGCCAAGUCGACCCCAAGCGCGGGCCAAUUCGUAGGAUGAUGCUGAUGGACGAACCGGAAGAUGGAUAAUCUGAACGAGUGCCAAGCCAAAGGAUGCUCGCCAAGUAGUCGCCUAACAAACACUAACCUAGUGUUACCCAGGCAAGCCCCGGUGCAUUUGCCACCUUCUUGCUGUUUUAAAAUCUUUAUCACCUUGUUUGAUGCAUUAUGUGAUAGGAGUUGUGUGCUAAACCGUUGAUGCAUUUUCUUUCUUGAAAAUUGAUUACCCUUUGUUGAUACCCGUUUUGAAAAGAAUUUUAUGAUGCUUAGCCUUGCUUUAGCAAACAAAAAUGUUUUGUUUUAAAACAAAAGUGAUGCUUCAGUGGAUGGGAAUUUUUUCAAAAAUAAAACUUGAUGGUGAAUCCAUCAUGGCCAUAAUGGAUUCAACAUCGGAAAAUAUGUACCUCUGCCAGGUACCAAACUUUGGGUUUAAAUAAUAAAGCUGAGACCGGGCGGGUGACUUGCACGAGAAAGGAGUCUCGGUGUAGUGUAUCCAUCUGAGUCGUUUAAGGACUGUACCGAUUGUUGGCUUGCUGAUCUAGGACCCUUUAUCUGGACAUAUACCUCAUCAUGGGUAAGCUUGAACCUGGCUAUUCCAUACAUGAAAAGACAAUCGCGCACUGUGAGUGGAGAGAUGGCGAGAGUGGCACGUACUCUCCUGGCAAAGGAUCGUCUAAAAGGGGUGGUGUGCUCUCGGGUGGCGUGGACCUGUUCAUGUGGUGGAGGAUCCGUGGAAAUGGUAGACAUGUGCAAAAGAGUUAAGAGAAGCAUAUGUCGUGUGGUUGGAAAUCCCCAGCUGGGUAUUAAUCGAUUUGGAUCGCCAAACUUCUCGGAUAUGAAGACGGGAUCUUCGACCCUCAUCGUAGAUAACAAGCGAAACAAAAGUUUGAUUUUAAAAGAAAGCUAGUGUAGGACAAGUGAAUGAUCUAGAUUAGGCAAAUCUAGAUUCAGAAAAAGUACUUAACUUGUGAUGUAAAAUUUUGGCUUAAGGACCCACUUCUAGUAAGCUUUUCUGUAAAAAGAGUCUUUGAAACUUGAUGAGCUUUACCUUGAAUCCCUCUAGCCAGCAUACCGUUGAGAGUCUUUUCUUUAGUCGGGUAAGUCUUGCUGAGUAAUUCCAUACUCAGGGUUUUUUUUCCCUGUUGUUUUUCAGGUUAUAGUUUUGUGCUGCUGCUGAAGAUGUUAAGUGCCGGUGGGCUCGGCCUUCUUAUAAGUCUAAGUAGC